GUUGUAUAGUUAAGUGAGAAAGCGUACAGGGCGGAUGCCUUGGCAAUCAGAGGCGAAGAAGGACGUGCUAAUCUGCGAAAAGCGUGGGUGAGUUGAUAAGAAGCGUUUAACCCACGAUGUCCGAAUGGGGAAACCCGAUAGGCGAAGAGCCUAUCAUUGCGAGGUGAAUAAAAUAGCCUCGUAAGGCGAACCGGGAGAACUGAAACAUCUAAGUACCCCGAGGAAAAGAAAUCAACCGAGAUUCUGUGAGUAGCGGCGAGCGAAAGCGGAGGAGCCAGUAAGUAAUAGCAGCAGAGAUAGAGGAAUUGUCUGGGAAGGCAAGCGACACAGGGUGAUAGCCCCGUACUUAAAAUCCAGGCUGUGGUACUAAGCUUACGAGAAGUAGGGCGGGACACGAGGAAUCCUGUCUGAAGAUGGGGGGACCAUCCUCCAAGGCUAAAUACUCCUGAUUGACCGAUAGUGAACCAGUACUGUGAAGGAAAGGCGAAAAGAACCCCGGUGAGGGGAGUGAAAUAGAACCUGAAACCCUGUACGUACAAGCAGUGGGAGCCCGCAAGGGUGACUGCGUACCUUUUGUAUAAUGGGUCAGCGACUUAUAUUUUGUAGCGAGGUUAACUGAAUAAGGGAGCCGAAGGGAAACCGAGUCUUAACUGGGCGGUGAGUUGCAAGGUAUAGACCCGAAACCCGGUGAUCUAGCCAUGGGCAGGUUGAAGGUUGGGUAACACUAACUGGAGGACCGAACCGACUAAUGUUGAAAAAUUAGCGGAUGACCUGUGGCUGGGGGUGAAAGGCCAAUCAAACCGGGAGAUAGCUGGUUCUCCCCGAAAUCUAUUUAGGUAGAGCCUUGUGUGAAUACCUUUGGGGGUAGAGCACUGUUUCGGCUAGGGGCCCAUCCCGGGUUACCAAACCGAUGCAAACUCCGAAUACCAAAGAGUAAUGCACAGGAGACACACGGCGGGUGCUAACGUCCGUCGUGGAGAGGGAAACAACCCAGACCGCCAGCUAAGGUCCCAAAAUCUAUAUUAAGUGGGAAACGAAGUGGGAAGGCUUAGACAGCUAGGAUGUUGGCUUAGAAGCAGCCACCAUUUAAAGAAAGCGUAAUAGCUCACUAGUCGAGUCGGCCUGCGCGGAAGAUGUAACGGGGCUAAAAUAUAGUACCGAAGCUGCGGCAUCAAUCGAAGGAUUGUUGGGUAGGGGAGCGUUGUGUAAGCGGAAGAAGGUGGUUCGAGAGGAUUGCUGGACGUAUCACAAGUGCGAAUGCUGACAUAAGUAACGAUAAAACGGGUGAAAAACCCGUUCGCCGGAAGACCAAGGGUUCCUGUCCAACGUUAAUCGGGGCAGGGUGAGUCGGCCCCUAAGGCGAGGCUGAAAAGCGUAGUCGAUGGGAAACGGGUUAAUAUUCCCGUACUUGGUAAAGCUGCGAUGUGGGGACGGAGAAGGUUAGGUUAUCGACCUGUUGGAGAUGGUCGUUUAAGUUGGUAGGUGGGUGAGUUAGGCAAAUCCGGCUCACCGUUAACACUGAGAGAUGAUGACGAGGCACUAAGGUGCUGAAGUAACUGAUACCACACUUCCAGGAAAAGCCACUAAGCUUCAGGCUUUACUAAACCGUACUGAAAACCGACACAGGUGGUCAGGUAGAGAAUACUCAGGCGCUUGAGAGAACUCGGGUGAAGGAACUAGGCAAAAUAGCACCGUAACUUCGGGAGAAGGUGUGCCGGCGUAGAUUGUAGUGACUUGCUCACGAAGGUUGAACCGGUCGAAGAUACCAGCUGGCUGCAACUGUUUAUUAAAAACACAGCACUCUGCAAACACGAAAGUGGACGUAUAGGGUGUGAUGCCUGCCCGGUGCUGGAAGGUUAAUUGAUGGUGUAAUCGAAAGAGAAGCUCCUGAUCGAAGCCCCAGUAAACGGCGGCCGUAACUAUAACGGUCCUAAGGUAGCGAAAUUCCUUGUCGGGUAAGUUCCGACCUGCACGAAUGGCAUAAUGAUGGCCAGGCUGUCUCCACCCGAGACUCAGUGAAAUUGAAAUCGCCGUGAAGAUGCGGUGUACCCGCGGCUAGACGGAAAGACCCCGUGAACCUUUACUAUAGCUUGACACUGAACCUUGAAUUUUGAUGUGUAGGAUAGGUGGGAGACUAUGAAGCGGUAACGCCAGUUAUCGUGGAGUCGUUGUUGAAAUACCACCCUUUAACGUUUGAUGUUCUAACGAAGUGCCUGAAACGGGUACUCGGACAGUGUCUGGUGGGUAGUUUGACUGGGGCGGUCUCCUCCCAAAGUGUAACGGAGGAGCACGAAGGUUUGCUAAUGACGGUCGGACAUCGUCAGGUUAGUGCAAUGGUAUAAGCAAGCUUAACUGCGAGACAGACAAGUCGAGCAGGUGCGAAAGCAGGUCAUAGUGAUCCGGUGGUUCUGAAUGGAAGGGCCAUCGCUCAACGGAUAAAAGGUACUCCGGGGAUAACAGGCUGAUACCGCCCAAGAGUUCAUAUCGACGGCGGUGUUUGGCACCUCGAUGUCGGCUCAUCACAUCCUGGGGCUGAAGUAGGUCCCAAGGGUAUGGCUGUUCGCCAUUUAAAGUGGUACGCGAGCUGGGUUUAGAACGUCGUGAGACAGUUCGGUCCCUAUCUGCCGUGGGCGUUGGAGAAUUGAGAGGGGCUGCUCCUAGUACGAGAGGACCGGAGUGGACGCAUCACUGGUGUACCAGUUGUCUCGCCAGAGGCAUUGCUGGGUAGCUAAAUGCGGAAGAGAUAAGUGCUGAAAGCAUCUAAGCACGAAACUUGCCUUGAGAUGAGUUCUCCCAGUCUAUAAGACUGUAAGGGUUGUUGGAGACUACGACGUAGAUAGGCUGGGUGUGUAAGCGGUGUGAGCCGUUGAGCUAACCAGUACUAAUUGCCCGAGAGGCUUAACUAUACAACGCUCAAGGGUUUUG
Molecule: ribosomal RNA, 2925 nt
Filed under: Avibacterium paragallinarum
Lineage: Bacteria; Pseudomonadati; Pseudomonadota; Gammaproteobacteria; Pasteurellales; Pasteurellaceae
Description: 23S ribosomal RNA
Rfam family: Bacterial large subunit ribosomal RNA
Source: RNAcentral